AAUAAAAGAUUCUAAGCUAAUGGAAACCGUCCAUUCACAUACACCAUUGCUCUCCAAAACCAACUUUCUUGAGUAGCAAAUUUCCUUAAGCCAUGGCUCUUCACCACCACCAUACAUAACCCAACAAAACCGAUCAGUAAACCCAUCUAAAGUCCUAAAGAUACAAGAUUAAUGGAAGAAGGAUUUGGAAGCUGGACAGACAAAUAAUGAAAAAAGGACGGAUGGAAAAGUGGAUCGGCUCACAAUUUUUGAAAUAUCUUUAGCAAGCAAUGUGGACUUGUGGAUGGAGCUCUCAUAUGUGUUUCGGCCGCUACAAUCUACAUCAUCAACAUGUUAUAAAAUAUCAUUUUUUUCCUCUUAAUUAUUUGAUAUAUAUUAUAUCCUUGCGAACUUAAAUGCAUGAUGUUUUGGUCAUAUUAGUACUGUAACAUUGUUUCGUGUUAAUAGUGGCACUCAUCAUUUUAUGAGUCUUUUUUUUCGU
This is a long non-coding RNA of Erigeron canadensis, 481 nucleotides long. RefSeq lists it as uncharacterized. Lineage: Eukaryota; Viridiplantae; Streptophyta; Magnoliopsida; Asterales; Asteraceae. The record is from RefSeq and is a predicted model, not a curated record. The transcript has 2 exons.